This 325-nucleotide RNase P RNA is filed under the name Azospira oryzae PS. RNAcentral's name for it is "Bacterial RNase P class A". It matches the Rfam family "Bacterial RNase P class A", at positions 20 to 287 of the family's 367-position model. Rfam says of the family: Ribonuclease P (RNase P) is a ubiquitous endoribonuclease, found in archaea, bacteria and eukarya as well as chloroplasts and mitochondria. Its best characterised activity is the generation of mature 5'-ends of tRNAs by cleaving the 5'-leader elements of precursor-tRNAs. Lineage: Bacteria; Pseudomonadati; Pseudomonadota; Betaproteobacteria; Rhodocyclales; Rhodocyclaceae. The record is from RNAcentral.
CUGGGUAUUCGUACCGAGAGGAAAGUCCGGGCUCCAUAGAGCGGGAUGCUGGCUAACGGCCAGGCGCUAUAAGCCGCAAGGCGAAGGCGACGGAAAGUGCAACAGAGAGCAGACCGCCGAUGGCUCCGGUGCAAACCGGGGAUCAGGCAAGGGUGAAACGGUGGCCGGACCUCAGGUCCGGACGGGCUGGUGCAAGCCGGUUCGGGGUAAGAGCCCACCGCGGCUGUGGCGACACAGACGGCACGGUAAACCCCAUUCGGAGCAAGGCCAAAUAGGGGAGCAUCAGGCGUGGCUCGCGCUGCUCCCGGGUAGGCUGCUUGAGCGC